GUUUCAGGCUAGCAUGGCCCUAAGCAAAGGAGGUCGGGCGGUUUCAGGCUAGCAUGGCCCUAAGCAAAGGAGGUCGGGCGGUUUCAGGCUAGCAUGGCCCUAAGCAAAGGAGGUCGGGCGGUUUCAGGCUAGCAUGGCCCUAAGCAAAGGAGGUCGGGCGGUUUCAGGCUAGCAUGGCCCUAAGCAAAGGAGGUCGGGCGGUUUCAGGCUAGCAUGGCCCUAAGCAAAGGAGGUCGGGCGGUUUCAGGCUAGCAUGGCCCUAAGCAAAGGAGGUCGGGCGGUUUCAGGCUAGCAUGGCCCUAAGCAAAGGAGGUCGGGCGGUUUCAGGCUAGCAUGGCCCUAAGCAAAGGAGGUCGGGCGGUUUCAGGCUAGCAUGGCCCUAAGCAAAGGAGGUCGGGCGGUUUCAGGCUAGCAUGGCCCUAAGCAAAGGAGGUCGGGCGGUUUCAGGCUAGCAUGGCCCUAAGCAAAGGAGGUCGGGCGGUUUCAGGCUAGCAUGCAAAGGAGUAACUCUUUCUACACGAUAAAAAGUUGAUGAGCCUCUGGAAUGGACCUCUUCCUGUUCCUCUCUGUUUAACCUUUAUGUAACUUGGCAAGUCAGUUAAGAACAAGUUCUUAUUUACAAUGACGGCCUACCAAAAGGUUAAAAGACCUCAUGCGGGGACGGGGGCUGGGAUAAAUAUAA
Molecule: long non-coding RNA, 682 nt
Organism: Oncorhynchus keta (chum salmon)
Lineage: Eukaryota; Metazoa; Chordata; Actinopteri; Salmoniformes; Salmonidae
Exons: 3
Source: RefSeq, a predicted model, not a curated record